GCCAGACUCCUACGGGAGGCAGCAGUAGGGAAUUUUCGUCAAUGGGCGCAAGCCUGAACGAGCAAUGCCGCGUGAACGAGGAAGGUCUUCGGAUCGUAAAGUUCUGUUGACGGAGAAAAAAGACCGGGAAAGGAAAUGAUCCCGGAGGAGAUAUUACCCGUCGAGGAAGUCACGGCUAACUACGUGCCAGCAGCCGCGGUAAUACGGAGGAUGCGAGCGUUAUCCGGAUUUAUUGGGUUUAAAGGGUGCGUAGGCGGAUUUUUAAGUCAGCGGUAAAAUGUCCGGGCUCAACCCGGGCCGGCCGUUGAAACUGGGGAUCUUGAGUGGGCGAGAAGUAUGCGGAAUGCGUGGUGUAGCGGUGAAAUGCAUAGAUAUCACGCAGAACUCCGACUGCGAAGGCAGCAUACCGGCGCCCGACUGACGCUGAGGCACGAAAGCGUGGGGAUCGAACAGGAUUAGAUACCCUUGUA
This 470-nucleotide ribosomal RNA is filed under the name uncultured bacterium. Its description in RNAcentral is "partial 16S ribosomal RNA". It matches the Rfam family "Bacterial small subunit ribosomal RNA", at positions 330 to 792 of the family's 1533-position model. The record is from RNAcentral.